GCGCCUGUAGCUCAAUUGGAUAGAGCGUCGGACUUCGGAUCCGAUGGUUGCGGGUUCAAGUCCUGCCAGGCGCGCCA
Molecule: transfer RNA, 77 nt
Filed under: Pseudothermotoga thermarum DSM 5069
Lineage: Bacteria; Thermotogati; Thermotogota; Thermotogae; Thermotogales; Thermotogaceae
Description: tRNA-Arg (TCG) (tRNA-Arg-TCG-1-1)
Rfam family: tRNA
About the family: Transfer RNA (tRNA) molecules are approximately 80 nucleotides in length. Their secondary structure includes four short double-helical elements and three loops (D, anti-codon, and T loops). Further hydrogen bonds mediate the characteristic L-shaped molecular structure. tRNAs have two regions of fundamental functional importance: the anti-codon, which is responsible for specific mRNA codon recognition, and the 3' end, to which the tRNAs corresponding amino acid is attached (by aminoacyl-tRNA synthetases). tRNAs cope with the degeneracy of the genetic code in two manners: having more than one tRNA (with a specific anti-codon) for a particular amino acid; and 'wobble' base-pairing, i.e. permitting non-standard base-pairing at the 3rd anti-codon position.
Source: RNAcentral